CAGGAAAACGAGUUUGUUUUCCUGACACUAUAGUGAUCCCUGAGGUUGGGGGGGACCUAAGGGUUAUAUAGUGUCAGGAAAACGAGUUUGUUUUCCUGACACUAU
Molecule: non-coding RNA, 105 nt
Organism: Pelobates cultripes (western spadefoot toad)
Lineage: Eukaryota; Metazoa; Chordata; Amphibia; Anura; Pelobatidae
Source: the annotation of a GenBank genome assembly